Molecule: transfer RNA, 72 nt
Filed under: Luteibacter rhizovicinus DSM 16549
Lineage: Bacteria; Pseudomonadati; Pseudomonadota; Gammaproteobacteria; Lysobacterales; Rhodanobacteraceae
Description: tRNA-Val
Rfam family: tRNA
About the family: Transfer RNA (tRNA) molecules are approximately 80 nucleotides in length. Their secondary structure includes four short double-helical elements and three loops (D, anti-codon, and T loops).
Source: RNAcentral
GGGCGGUUAGCUCAGCGGUAGAGCACUGCCUUCACACGGCAGGUGUCACAAGUUCGAUCCUUGUACCUGUCU